AAGGACCCUUCUUGAUAAGC
RNAcentral lists this microRNA (20 nucleotides) under Heligmosomoides polygyrus. RNAcentral describes it as "hpo-miR-10043c-3p". The record is from miRBase by way of RNAcentral. Lineage: Eukaryota; Metazoa; Nematoda; Chromadorea; Rhabditida; Heligmosomidae.